RNAcentral lists this ribosomal RNA (441 nucleotides) under uncultured bacterium. RNAcentral describes it as "partial 16S ribosomal RNA". It matches the Rfam family "Bacterial small subunit ribosomal RNA", at positions 338 to 795 of the family's 1533-position model. The record is from RNAcentral.
CCUACGGGUGGCAGCAGUGGGGGAUAUUGCACAAUGGGGGGAACCCUGAUGCAGCGACGCCGCGUGGGUGAAGGAGUGCUUCGGCAUGUAAAGCUCUAUCGGCAGGGAAGAAGCAAGACGGUACCUGACCAAGAAGCCCCGGCGAACUACGUGCCAGCAGCCGCGGUAAUACGUAGGGGGCGAGCGUUAUCCGGAUUCACGGGGUGUAAAGGGAGCGUAGAUGGCCAUGCAAGCCAGGGGUGAAAGCCCGGGGCCCAACCCCGGGACUGCCCUUGGAACUGUGCGGCUAGAGUGCGGGAGGGGCAGGCGGAAUUCCUGGUGUAGCGGUGAAAUGCGUAGAUAUCAGGAGGAACACCGGCGGCGAAGGCGGCCUGCUGGACCGCGACUGACGUUGAGGCUCGAAAGCGUGGGGAGCGAACAGGAUUAGAUACCCCAGUAGUC